This 492-nucleotide ribosomal RNA is filed under the name uncultured bacterium. Its description in RNAcentral is "partial 16S ribosomal RNA". It matches the Rfam family "Bacterial small subunit ribosomal RNA", at positions 29 to 507 of the family's 1533-position model. The record is from RNAcentral.
AGUGAACGCUGGCGGUAGGCCUAACACAUGCAAGUCGAACGGCAGCACAGUAAGAGCUUGCUCUUACGGGUGGCGGGUGGCGGACGGGUGAGGAAUACAUCGGAAUCUACUUUUUCGUGGGGGAUAACGUAGGGAAACUUACGCUAAUACCGCAUACGACCUACGGGUGAAAGCGGGGGAUCUUCGGACCUUGCGCGAUUGAAUGAGCCGAUGUCGGAUUAGCUAGUUGGCGGGGUAAAGGCCCACCAAGGCGACGAUCCGUAGCUGGUCUGAGAGGAUGAUCAGCCACACUGGAACUGAGACACGGUCCAGACUCCUACGGGAGGCAGCAGUGGGGAAUAUUGGACAAUGGGCGCAAGCCUGAUCCAGCCAUACCGCGUGGGUGAAGAAGGCCUUCGGGUUGUAAAGCCCUUUUGUUGGGAAAGAAAAGCAGCAGGUUAAUACCCCGCUGUUCUGACGGUACCCAAAGAAUAAGCACCGGCUAACUUCGUG